This 79-nucleotide transfer RNA is filed under the name Klebsiella pneumoniae. RNAcentral's name for it is "tRNA-OTHER". It matches the Rfam family "tRNA". Rfam says of the family: Transfer RNA (tRNA) molecules are approximately 80 nucleotides in length. Their secondary structure includes four short double-helical elements and three loops (D, anti-codon, and T loops). Further hydrogen bonds mediate the characteristic L-shaped molecular structure. tRNAs have two regions of fundamental functional importance: the anti-codon, which is responsible for specific mRNA codon recognition, and the 3' end, to which the tRNAs corresponding amino acid is attached (by aminoacyl-tRNA synthetases). tRNAs cope with the degeneracy of the genetic code in two manners: having more than one tRNA (with a specific anti-codon) for a particular amino acid; and 'wobble' base-pairing, i.e. permitting non-standard base-pairing at the 3rd anti-codon position. Lineage: Bacteria; Pseudomonadati; Pseudomonadota; Gammaproteobacteria; Enterobacterales; Enterobacteriaceae. The record is from RNAcentral.
CGCGGGGUGGAGCAGCCUGGUAGCUCGUCGGGCUCAAUAACCCGAAGGUCGUCAGGUUCAAAUCCGGCCCCCGCAACCA